CAGGAAAAGAAAAGGGCAAAAAAGAUUCGAACGGAUAAAGCAAUACAAAACGAGUCCUAAUCAAACAAGAAACACAUCAUUAAACCCUAAACAAACAAGAAACACAUCAAUACAACCAAAACAAAGACAACCAAACAGGGACAAUAAAGAGGAGGAGGAGGUUUGUGAAAAUGGAAUAUAAGAGACCAGCCAUCACAUGACAGGCACGUGCUAGCCGAAAGAAUAACGGAGAAGGAGACGUGGCACGCAACUACGGAGGAAUCUAGCGAUAAACAAUAGGGAGAAAGCAUCUGCUGUUUUACGCAAAUAGAGACAAUGACGAUGGAAAAUUGGGGAGGUGACGCGAAAUCUGUAAAUAAAAUGGAAGAAAUCCAAAGGAAACAACUCACCAUCACAAUAAUUGGUUUUUUUUUUUU
Molecule: unclassified non-coding RNA, 416 nt
Filed under: Hevea brasiliensis (rubber tree)
Lineage: Eukaryota; Viridiplantae; Streptophyta; Magnoliopsida; Malpighiales; Euphorbiaceae
Source: RNAcentral